CGGGCGAGGCGCCGAUCUAAGUCCCUUGGAACGGGGCGUCAUAGAGGGUGAGAAUCCCGUAUGUGACCGGUGACCGAGCCCAUGUGAAACUCCUUCGACGAGUCGAGUUGUUUGGGAAUGCAGCUCAAAAUGGGUGGUAAAUUUCAUCUAAAGCUAAAUACCGGCCAGAGACCGAUAGCGCACAAGUAGAGUGAUCGAAAGAUGAAAAGCACUUUGGAAAGAGAGUCAAAAAGUACGUGAAAUUGUUGAAAGGGAAGCGCUUGCAGCCAGACCUGCCCGCGGGUGAUCAACCGUCCUUCUGGGCGGUGCACUCGCCCGCGAUCAGGCCAGCAUCGGUUCGGGCGGCCGGAUAAAGGCCUCGGGAACGUAGCUCCUUUCGGGGAGUGUUAUAGCCCGUGGUGCAAUGCGGCCCGCCUGGACCGAGGACCGCGCUUCGGCAAGGAUGCUGGCGUAAUGGCUGUAAGCGGCCCGUCUUGAAACACGGACCAAGGAGUCUAACAUCUAUGCGAGUGUUUGGGUGUCAAACCCAUACGCGUAAUGAAAGUGAACGGAGGUGGGAACCCCUUCCGGGGCGCACCAUCGACCGAUCCAGAUGUCUUCGGAUGGAUUUGAGUACGAGCAUCAAUGUUGGGACCCGAAAGAUGGUGAACUAUGCUUGAAUAGGGUGAAGCCAGAGGAAACUCUGGUGGAGGCUCGCAGCGGUUCUGACGUGCAAAUCGAUCGUCAAAUUUGGGCAUAGGGGCGAAAGACUAAUCGAACCAUC
This 763-nucleotide ribosomal RNA is filed under the name Squamulea squamosa. RNAcentral describes it as "LSU rRNA". It matches the Rfam family "Eukaryotic large subunit ribosomal RNA", at positions 165 to 944 of the family's 3401-position model. The record is from RNAcentral. Lineage: Eukaryota; Fungi; Ascomycota; Lecanoromycetes; Teloschistales; Teloschistaceae.